Molecule: unclassified non-coding RNA, 434 nt
Filed under: soil metagenome
Description: partial contains 5.8S ribosomal RNA, internal transcribed spacer 2, and large subunit ribosomal RNA
Rfam family: 5.8S ribosomal RNA (bases 1-120)
Source: RNAcentral
GAUGAAGAACGUAGCGAAAUGCGAUACGUAAUGUGAAUUGCAGAAUUCAGUGAAUCAUCGAAUCUUUGAACGCAUAUUGCGCUCUCUGGUAUUCCGGAGAGCAUGCUUGUUUGAGUAUCAGUAAACACCUCAACUCCCUUUUCUUUUUUGAAAUGGGAGCUGGACUUGAGUGAUCCCAACACUUUUCUCACUGGAAAGUGGCGGGUCACUUGAAAUGCAGGUGCAGCUGGACUUUUCUCUGAGCUAUAAGCAUAUCUAUUUAGUCUGCCUAAAAAACAGAUUAUUACCUUUGCUGCAGCUAACAUAAAGGAGAUGAGUUCUUGUGCUGACUGAUGCAGGAUUCACAGAGACAGCUUUGCGGCUGACUUUGUAAACUCGAUCUCAAAUCAAGUAAGACUACCCGCUGAACUUAAGCAUAUCCAAUAAGCGGAGGA